CCACUCUCAGGGACGCCUCUGGAGAGUUUCCAGUAACUCUACCUGUCUCGGCUAUAAGAGGGAGAGUCAAGCAGAGGUCUACCCAUUACAUUCCUAGCUUGGGCAGUGGCUAGCGAGUGGAAGGCAAUCUGCUACAAGU
Tachyglossus aculeatus (Australian echidna) is the source of this 139-nucleotide small nucleolar RNA. NCBI's taxonomy places the organism in Eukaryota, Metazoa, Chordata, Mammalia, Monotremata, Tachyglossidae. The record is from RefSeq and is a predicted model, not a curated record.